AAGCUAGGAAGUUAGGUAGCCCGCGAAAUUGAUAGCUUCAUGGAUAUAUGCGCUGGCUGCAUUAGCUUGCGAAGAGCUGGCAUCGGCGCGCUGGCGAAUGCCCCGCAGUCAGUCGCCCCCGAGCUUCCGGUCUUGUCCAACCAGUAGUUACGCUAAGAGACCGCUCUAU
RNAcentral lists this small RNA (169 nucleotides) under Mycobacterium leprae TN. RNAcentral's name for it is "Actinobacteria sRNA Ms_IGR-5". It matches the Rfam family "Actinobacteria sRNA Ms_IGR-5". The record is from Rfam by way of RNAcentral. Lineage: Bacteria; Bacillati; Actinomycetota; Actinomycetes; Mycobacteriales; Mycobacteriaceae.